GUUUGGUUCCCUCGCAGCAUAUCUUGUAAACCCCGCCAGGCCCGGAAGGGAGCAACGGUAGCAAGCACUGUGUGUGCCGAGAUCGAGCUAAAUGAG
Molecule: non-coding RNA, 96 nt
Organism: Gammaproteobacteria bacterium RIFCSPHIGHO2_12_38_15
Lineage: Bacteria; Pseudomonadati; Pseudomonadota; Gammaproteobacteria
Source: Rfam